CCUACGGGGGGCUGCAGUAGGGAAUCUUCCACAAUGGACGCAAGUCUGAUGGAGCAACGCCGCGUGAGUGAAGAAGGUUUUCGGAUCGUAAAACUCUGUUGUUGGAGAAGAACGUAUUUGAUAGUAACUGAUCAGGUAGUGACGGUAUCCAACCAGAAAGCCACGGCUAACUACGUGCCAGCAGCCGCGGUAAUACGUAGGUGGCAAGCGUUGUCCGGAUUUAUUGGGCGUAAAGCGAGCGCAGGCGGUUUCUUAAGUCUGAUGUGAAAGCCUUCGGCUCAACCGAAGAAGUGCAUCGGAAACUGGGAAACUUGAGUGCAGAAGAGGACAGUGGAACUCCAUGUGUAGCGGUGAAAUGCGUAGAUAUAUGGAAGAACACCAGUGGCGAAGGCGGCUGUCUGGUCUGUAACUGACGCUGAGGCUCGAAAGCAUGGGGAGCAAACAGGAUUAGAUACCCCAGUAGUC
RNAcentral lists this ribosomal RNA (465 nucleotides) under uncultured Lactobacillus sp. RNAcentral's name for it is "bacterial SSU rRNA". It matches the Rfam family "Bacterial small subunit ribosomal RNA", at positions 338 to 795 of the family's 1533-position model. Lineage: Bacteria; Bacillati; Bacillota; Bacilli; Lactobacillales; Lactobacillaceae. The record is from RNAcentral.